RNAcentral lists this transfer RNA (73 nucleotides) under Camelus bactrianus (Bactrian camel). It matches the Rfam family "tRNA". Rfam says of the family: Transfer RNA (tRNA) molecules are approximately 80 nucleotides in length. Their secondary structure includes four short double-helical elements and three loops (D, anti-codon, and T loops). Lineage: Eukaryota; Metazoa; Chordata; Mammalia; Artiodactyla; Camelidae. The record is from Rfam by way of RNAcentral. RNAcentral also lists the same sequence under 1 other name.
GAGGGUAUAGCUUAAGUGGUAGAGCACAUGCUUUGUAAGCAUGAGGUCCUGGAUUCAAUCCCCAGAACCUUUU